AAAUUGAAGAGUUUGAUCAUGGCUCAGAUUGAACGCUGGCGGCAGGCCUAACACAUGCAAGUCGAACGGUAACAGGAAGCAGCUUGCUGCUUUGCUGACGAGUGGCGGACGGGUGAGUAAUGUCUGGGAAACUGCCUGAUGGAGGGGGGUAACUACUGGAAACGGUGGCUAAUACCGCAUAACGUCGCAAGACCAAAGAGGGGGACCUUCGGGCCUCUUGCCAUCAGAUGUGCCCAGAUGGGAUUAGCUUGUUGGUGAGGUAACGGCUCACCAAGGCGACGAUCCCUAGCUGGUCUGAGAGGAUGACCAGCCACACUGGAACUGAGACACGGUCCAGACUCCUACGGGAGGCAGCAGUGGGGAAUAUUGCACAAUGGGCGCAAGCCUGAUGCAGCCAUGCCGCGUGUAUGAAGAAGGCCUUCGGGUUGUAAAGUACUUUCAGCGGGGAGGAAGGUGUUGUGGUUAAUAACC
This 471-nucleotide ribosomal RNA is filed under the name Salmonella enterica. RNAcentral's name for it is "bacterial SSU rRNA". It matches the Rfam family "Bacterial small subunit ribosomal RNA", at positions 1 to 468 of the family's 1533-position model. Lineage: Bacteria; Pseudomonadati; Pseudomonadota; Gammaproteobacteria; Enterobacterales; Enterobacteriaceae. RNAcentral also lists the same sequence under 1 other name. The record is from RNAcentral.